Molecule: ribosomal RNA, 2981 nt
Filed under: Salmonella enterica subsp. enterica serovar Typhimurium str. DT104
Lineage: Bacteria; Pseudomonadati; Pseudomonadota; Gammaproteobacteria; Enterobacterales; Enterobacteriaceae
Description: bacterial LSU rRNA
Rfam family: Bacterial large subunit ribosomal RNA
Source: RNAcentral
UUAAGCGACUAAGCGUACACGGUGGAUGCCCUGGCAGUCAGAGGCGAUGAAGGGCGUGCUAAUCUGCGAUAAGCGCCGGUAAGGUGAUAUGAACCGUUAUAACCGGCGAUACCCGAAUGGGGAAACCCAGUGUGAUUCGUCACACUAUCAUUAACUGAAUCCAUAGGUUAAUGAGGCGAACCGGGGGAACUGAAACAUCUAAGUACCCCGAGGAAAAGAAAUCAACCGAGAUUCCCCCAGUAGCGGCGAGCGAACGGGGAGGAGCCCAGAGCCUGAAUCAGCAUGUGUGUUAGUGGAAGCGUCUGGAAAGGCGCGCGAUACAGGGUGACAGCCCCGUACACAAAAGCGCAUGUGCUGUGAGCUCGAUGAGUAGGGCGGGACACGUGGUAUCCUGUCUGAAUAUGGGGGGACCAUCCUCCAAGGCUAAAUACUCCUGACUGACCGAUAGUGAACCAGUACCGUGAGGGAAAGGCGAAAAGAACCCCGGCGAGGGGAGUGAAAAAGAACCUGAAACCGUGUACGUACAAGCAGUGGGAGCACNNNGUGACUGCGUACCUUUUGUAUAAUGGGUCAGCGACUUAUAUUCUGUAGCAAGGUUAACCGUAUAGGGGAGCCGGAGGGAAACCGAGUCUUAACCGGGCGUUAAGUUGCAGGGUAUAGACCCGAAACCCGGUGAUCUAGCCAUGGGCAGGUUGAAGGUUGGGUAACACUAACUGGAGGACCGAACCGACUAAUGUUGAAAAAUUAGCGGAUGACCUGUGGCUGGGGGUGAAAGGCCAAUCAAACCGGGAGAUAGCUGGUUCUCCCCGAAAGCUAUUUAGGUAGCGCCUCGUGAAUUCAUCUCCGGGGGUAGAGCACUGUUUCGGCUAGGGGGCCAUCCCGGCUUACCAACCCGAUGCAAACUGCGAAUACCGGAGAAUGUUAUCACGGGAGACACACGGCGGGUGCUAACGUCCGUCGUGAAGAGGGAAACAACCCAGACCGCCAGCUAAGGUCCCAAAGUCAUGGUUAAGUGGGAAACGAUGUGGGAAGGCCCAGACAGCCAGGAUGUUGGCUUAGAAGCAGCCAUCAUUUAAAGAAAGCGUAAUAGCUCACUGGUCGAGUCGGCCUGCGCGGAAGAUGUAACGGGGCUAAACCAUGCACCGAAGCUGCGGCAGCGAACGUAUCACCCAAGACAACUUUACGGAGUUGACGAUUGACGGAGCGAAGCGACGUCAAAGCGUUCAUUAAAGUCGAGUUGGCUUAGGGAUACGUUCGUUGGGUAGGGGAGCGUUCUGUAAGCCUGUGAAGGUGUGUCGUGAGGCAUGCUGGAGGUAUCAGAAGUGCGAAUGCUGACAUAAGUAACGAUAAAGCGGGUGAAAAGCCCGCUCGCCGGAAGACCAAGGGUUCCUGUCCAACGUUAAUCGGGGCAGGGUGAGUCGACCCCUAAGGCGAGGCCGAAAGGCGUAGUCGAUGGGAAACGGGUUAAUAUUCCCGUACUUGGUGUUACUGCGAAGGGGGGACGGAGAAGGCUAUGUUGGCCGGGCGACGGUUGUCCCGGUUUAAGCGUGUAGGUGUGUGUUCCAGGUAAAUCCGGUUCACUUUAACACUGAGGCGUGACGACGAGGCACUACGGUGCUGAAGCAACAAAUGCCCUGCUUCCAGGAAAAGCCUCUAAGCAUCAGGUAACACGAAAUCGUACCCCAAACCGACACAGGUGGUCAGGUAGAGAAUACCAAGGCGCUUGAGAGAACUCGGGUGAAGGAACUAGGCAAAAUGGUGCCGUAACUUCGGGAGAAGGCACGCUGACACGUAGGUGAAGUGAUUUACUCAUGGAGCUGAAGUCAGUCGAAGAUACCAGCUGGCUGCAACUGUUUAUUAAAAACACAGCACUGUGCAAACACGAAAGUGGACGUAUACGGUGUGACGCCUGCCCGGUGCCGGAAGGUUAAUUGAUGGGGUCAGCGCAAGCGAAGCUCCUGAUCGAAGCCCCGGUAAACGGCGGCCGUAACUAUAACGGUCCUAAGGUAGCGAAAUUCCUUGUCGGGUAAGUUCCGACCUGCACGAAUGGCGUAAUGAUGGCCAGGCUGUCUCCACCCGAGACUCAGUGAAAUUGAACUCGCUGUGAAGAUGCAGUGUACCCGCGGCAAGACGGAAAGACCCCGUGAACCUUUACUAUAGCUUGACACUGAACAUUGAGCCUUGAUGUGUAGGAUAGGUGGGAGGCUUUGAAGUGUGGACGCCAGUCUGCAUGGAGCCGACCUUGAAAUACCACCCUUUAAUGUUUGAUGUUCUAACGUGGACCCGUAAUCCGGGUUGCGGACAGUGUCUGGUGGGUAGUUUGACUGGGGCGGUCUCCUCCUAAAGAGUAACGGAGGAGCACGAAGGUUGGCUAAUCCUGGUCGGACAUCAGGAGGUUAGUGCAAUGGCAUAAGCCAGCUUGACUGCGAGCGUGACGGCGCGAGCAGGUGCGAAAGCAGGUCAUAGUGAUCCGGUGGUUCUGAAUGGAAGGGCCAUCGCUCAACGGAUAAAAGGUACUCCGGGGAUAACAGGCUGAUACCGCCCAAGAGUUCAUAUCGACGGCGGUGUUUGGCACCUCGAUGUCGGCUCAUCACAUCCUGGGGCUGAAGUAGGUCCCAAGGGUAUGGCUGUUCGCCAUUUAAAGUGGUACGCGAGCUGGGUUUAGAACGUCGUGAGACAGUUCGGUCCCUAUCUGCCGUGGGCGCUGGAGAACUGAGGGGGGCUGCUCCUAGUACGAGAGGACCGGAGUGGACGCAUCACUGGUGUUCGGGUUGUCAUGCCAAUGGCACUGCCCGGUAGCUAAAUGCGGAAGAGAUAAGUGCUGAAAGCAUCUAAGCACGAAACUUGCCCCGAGAUGAGUUCUCCCUGAGACUUAGAGUCUCCUGAAGGAACGUUGAAGACGACGACGUUGAUAGGCCGGGUGUGUAAGCGCAGCGAUGCGUUGAGCUAACCGGUACUAAUGAACCGUGAGGCUUAACCUU